CAUCACGCGUGAACCGCCGCGCCGUGCACGCCGAGAUGGGGCGAGGCCAUCACCGCCGCCGCUUGCUGGCUCCACCGUCUUCGGUGCCGGUGGCGACGCGAGGGCUGGGCCACAGCAUGCGGGAGGACGGUCGCGGUUCGCCUGGCGCAGCGACUGAUGCCGAUCGCUGCCGGGUGUACAGUGAGACGCGCAAUCGCCCCGCAGCGGCGCAGCAUCCGGGAUGGCGCCGAGCAGGUAUACAAAUACACUUAAAAUAACCAUCAAGGGGAAGAAAGAAGCAUGUGCCUGUUGAAGCUCGUGCCUGAUGAUGUUGGAAAGUCCUCAUGGCGCAUGGGAGGGGGACCUGUGCUGUCUGCCUGCCCCAAGUGCCGAGCACGACCAGAGCAGGCUAGCCGGUGAUCAACUGUAAAAACCGCGACGCGCCAACACUCUGUUCCUGGAGCUGAUGGCUGUUCCCAUCUUCCUAUCGCCCUGGUUUAGUAGGUUGCGCCACGCAGAGAAAGCUGCCUGUGACCGUUGAACAACGCGUCUGCUCUGCUACAUCUAUUAUAUUGAUUCAGGUGAACGGUCGGGCUUCAGAGAGAUGGCAGCUGCUGCAUCCAUCGAUCCAAGAUGAAUGAAGAAUGACAAUCCACAGCUUCACCAGCAAAGCCAGGAAAAAGAACAUAUUACACACACUGCGGUUUACAGUGCACUCAUGGCAUCAGGAUACGUAUUUGCUGCGACUUGAGCAUCAGCGUUUGCGCGCCCACCAAGCAAAUUGGAUGGCAAUUAUUGCGUGGGUGGCGACGGAUCCGUCGGUUGGCCAGAACCGCGACUCCAAGUGUAUGUACGCACAGUCGUACACCGGUACGCAGACCUCUCCUCUCCCUUCCGAAACAACUCUCGACCGACCUGCUGGCGUGCUUAGUCAAACGUGAUUAGCCCUUGUUGCUGAUUAAUCAGUCUGAACAUUUAUGAGCCCGGGGCCGGACGAGGUGUCA
Sorghum bicolor (sorghum) is the source of this 983-nucleotide long non-coding RNA. RefSeq lists it as uncharacterized. Lineage: Eukaryota; Viridiplantae; Streptophyta; Magnoliopsida; Poales; Poaceae. The record is from RefSeq and is a predicted model, not a curated record. The transcript is spliced from 5 exons.